Molecule: ribosomal RNA, 497 nt
Filed under: uncultured bacterium
Lineage: Bacteria
Description: partial 16S ribosomal RNA
Rfam family: Bacterial small subunit ribosomal RNA
Source: RNAcentral
GAUGAACGCUGGCGGCGUGCCUAAUACAUGCAAGUCGAGCGAACGGACGAGAAGCUUGCUUCUCUGAUGUUAGCGGCGGACGGGUGAGUAACACGUGGAUAACCUACCUAUAAGACUGGGAUAACUUCGGGAAGCCGGAGCUAAUACCGGAUAAUAUUUUGAACCGCAUGGUUCAAAAGUGAAAGACGGUCUUGCUGUCACUUAUAGAUGGAUCCGCGCUGCAUUAGCUAGUUGGUAAGGUAACGGCUUACCAAGGCAACGAUGCAUAGCCGACCUGAGAGGGUGAUCGGCCACACUGGAACUGAGACACGGUCCAGACUCCUACGGGAGGCAACAGUAGGGAAUCUUCCGCAAUGGGCGAAAGCCUGACGGAGCAACGCCGCGUGAGUGAUGAAGGUCUUCGGAUCGUAAAACUCUGUUAUUAGGGAAGAACAUAUGUGUAAGUAACUGUGCACAUCUUGACGGUACCUAAUCAGAAAGCCACGGCUAACUACGUG